RNAcentral lists this ribosomal RNA (440 nucleotides) under uncultured bacterium. RNAcentral describes it as "partial 16S ribosomal RNA". It matches the Rfam family "Bacterial small subunit ribosomal RNA", at positions 338 to 795 of the family's 1533-position model. The record is from RNAcentral.
CCUACGGGUGGCAGCAGUGGGGAAUAUUGCACAAUGGGGGAAACCCUGAUGCAGCGACGCCGCGUGAGUGAAGAAGUAAUUCGUUACGUAAAGCUCUAUCAGCAGGGAAGAAAAUGACGGUACCUGAGUAAGAAGCCCCGGCUAACUACGUGCCAGCAGCCGCGGUAAUACGUAGGGGGCAAGCGUUAUCCGGAUUUACUGGGUGUAAAGGGAGCGUAGACGGUGCGCCAAGUCAGCUGUGAAAACUACGGGCUUAACCUGUAGACUGCAGUUGAAACUGGCUUUCUUGAGUGAAGUAGAGGUUGGCGGAAUUCCGAGUGUAGCGGUGAAAUGCUUAGAUAUCACGAAGAACUCCGAUUGCGAAGGCAGUUCACUGGACUGCAACUGACACUGAGGCUCGAAAGUGUGGGUAUCAAACAGGAUUAGAUACCCCAGUAGUC